UACGUAGGGAGCAAGCGUUGUCCGGAAUCAUUGGGCGUAAAGCGCGCGUAGGUGGCCACAUAAGUCCGUUGUGAAAGUCAAAGGCUCAACCUUUGAAAGCCGAUGGAUACUGUGUGGCUAGAGUACGGAAGAGGCGAGUGGAAUUCCUGGUGUAGCGGUGGAAUGCGCAGAUAUCAGGAGGAACACCGGUGGCGAAGGCGGGUCUCUGGGCAGUAACUGACGCUGAGGAGCGAAAGCGUGGGGAGCGAACAGG
This 253-nucleotide ribosomal RNA is filed under the name uncultured bacterium. Its description in RNAcentral is "partial 16S ribosomal RNA". It matches the Rfam family "Bacterial small subunit ribosomal RNA", at positions 524 to 776 of the family's 1533-position model. The record is from RNAcentral.